Molecule: unclassified non-coding RNA, 271 nt
Filed under: Hevea brasiliensis (rubber tree)
Lineage: Eukaryota; Viridiplantae; Streptophyta; Magnoliopsida; Malpighiales; Euphorbiaceae
Source: RNAcentral
AGCUCAGUUGCAGAAUUCACAAAUUACAAAAAUUUAAAUAAUUCAAAACAUAUAAAACUUAGAAUCAAGUAAAAUCAUGUUAAAAUUGUGCUUAACAAUAAAAUCAAUAUGAUUUUAUGAUAUUGCGUUGCGUGGUACUAAAUUAUCUGUAGCAUACCUCCACAAUUUUACAAAAUUAUAAAUAACUAUUUUGUGAUUUUAACCCCUUCUAAUGUUUGAAAUUUCCUCAAUAACCUUUUCAAGGCAAUAAGCCAUUGAUGCUUGUUCAAAU